CCUACGGGAGGCUGCAGUGGGGGAUAUUGCACAAUGGGGGGAACCCUGAUGCAGCGACGCCGCGUGGGUGAAGAAGCGCCUCGGCGCGUAAAGCCCUGUCAGCAGGGAAGAAAAUGACGGUACCUGAAGAAGAAGCCCCGGCUAACUACGUGCCAGCAGCCGCGGUAAUACGUAGGGGGCAAGCGUUAUCCGGAUUUACUGGGUGGAAAGGGGGCGCAGACGGCGGUGCAAGCCAGGAGUGAAAGCCCGGGGCCCAACCCCGGGACUGCUCUUGGAACUGCGUGGCUGGAGUGCAGGAGGGGCAGGCGGAAUUCCUGGUGUAGCGGUGAAAUGCGUAGAUAUCAGGAGGAACACCGGUGGCGAAGGCGGCCUGCUGGACUGCAACUGACGUUGAGGCCCGAAAGCGUGGGGAGCAAACAGGAUUAGAUACCCCGGUAGUC
RNAcentral lists this ribosomal RNA (440 nucleotides) under uncultured bacterium. RNAcentral's name for it is "partial 16S ribosomal RNA". It matches the Rfam family "Bacterial small subunit ribosomal RNA", at positions 338 to 795 of the family's 1533-position model. The record is from RNAcentral.